CGGGCAGGAAGGUGAAUGCAGCCACAGCAGGUGCUGCUGAAGAUCUCUGCGGUUUUCGUAACAGAGCAAGACCUGGCUGUCACUGCCUGUAGGGUGGCUUUGAAUCAGACCUCAAUCAAGACUGGAGGCCUAUUGUGUUAAUGUUCUGUGGAUAUUUGGGAGAUGCAUCCCAGCUUGCCCACUGUAUGAUUUCUGCUUCCUCUGAACAAGUGUCAUAAGAAGGCAAUGUCCCAGAAAAUAACUCCAUAUGUCCAGCUGCUCUGGGGAAGGUGGGAAGAGUCCCAUGCUCAAGAUGUCACCAGUGACAUUUGGUUCCUCCACACACAGCCUCAUUGCUCUGCAGUCUCAAUCAAUGUUUCUCUUAGACGCUUCAGCUGAAGGUAUACAACUGCAAAUUUCAAAGGCUGACACUCCAUUGACAAGGAUGAAGGAACAACAUAUAUAUAUGUAUCAACUAGGAGCAAAAAACUAUAAAGGUGGAUUGCAAAAAGAAGUUGGCAAUGAUCACAGUAAGGAGUCAUGGGAGUAGAGACCUUGGCCAAGAUUUUAUACUCAUUUUACUUUUUGAGCCACAGAAGAUGUUAAAUAACACUGAGGCUGAAUAAGAUUUUAAUAACGAAUAUAUGCAGAAGUAAAUAAAAACUGAAAAAGAACCAGUAGGAUAGAAAAGUAAAAAAUUAAUAAUCUCUCUCCCAGCCCCUCUAUACAUCAUUGCAAGCAUGCACAGCUGCAUAAAAUAUAGGAAUAAAUUUUUAUUUUGUCUUUCACCUUCCAAGUUUUUAUGAAGAGUGAUUAUGGAUUAAUUUUAAAAAAUUGCUAAA
Long non-coding RNA from Centrocercus urophasianus (Greater sage-grouse), 821 nucleotides. RefSeq lists it as uncharacterized. The record is from RefSeq and is a predicted model, not a curated record. The transcript has 3 exons. Lineage: Eukaryota; Metazoa; Chordata; Aves; Galliformes; Phasianidae.